This is a long non-coding RNA of Pelobates fuscus (common spadefoot toad), 444 nucleotides long. RefSeq lists it as uncharacterized. The record is from RefSeq and is a predicted model, not a curated record. Lineage: Eukaryota; Metazoa; Chordata; Amphibia; Anura; Pelobatidae. The transcript is spliced from 3 exons.
UCUCCCUUUCAAAAUGCCACCCUGUCCCAUCAUGUCACUUUGGAUAUGGGCAGGGCAUCAUCUGGGAUUUGCCUCCUUCCUCAGGAGGUUUUCAUAGCCAUCCCAAGACAUUGCUUAUCUGAUUUCACACACUGCAUAACGGAAUUCAGUUCUGCUAUACUCUACAGAUAGUCCAGAUUAAUGAACUGCCAGGUCAAGCAAAAUGACUGAAAAGGCCUCUCCAUCCAACAGGGACAAUUCCAAUCUGAUUUCAACUGGAGAACUCAGAGCCCCAAUGAAUACAGUGAAACUAGCAUCCUGCUUGUAUUACCAUUCAAUGGACCUGGCAUGGAAGCAUUGAACAGCAAGAUCUCAACCAAGGAAAGGAAUCCACACCCUGUUAUAGCAUUAGAUAGCUUGACAUCUAUAGCAUACAUUGGUGGAUAGAUAGAUAGAGACAUAGAC